RNAcentral lists this ribosomal RNA (122 nucleotides) under Escherichia coli. RNAcentral's name for it is "partial 23S ribosomal RNA". It matches the Rfam family "Bacterial large subunit ribosomal RNA", at positions 2809 to 2925 of the family's 2925-position model. The record is from RNAcentral. Lineage: Bacteria; Pseudomonadati; Pseudomonadota; Gammaproteobacteria; Enterobacterales; Enterobacteriaceae. RNAcentral also lists the same sequence under 1 other name.
UUCUCCCUGACCCUUUAAGGGUCCUGAAGGAACGUUGAAGACGACGACGUUGAUAGGCCGGGUGUGUAAGCGCAGCGAUGCGUUGAGCUAACCGGUACUAAUGAACCGUGAGGCUUAACCUU